UCAUCGCCACCACAUGUAUGCUCAUCUCGCUGUCGACGCAGAGGAAUCCGGUGGGAAUCCGGAACUGUCCCGCAACGGUGUGCUGUGGUGCCUUUGUCGUACCCGCAAGUCCGGACGUCUGCCGACAGCGCGCCCGGCUC
RNAcentral lists this non-coding RNA (140 nucleotides) under Streptomyces clavuligerus. Lineage: Bacteria; Bacillati; Actinomycetota; Actinomycetes; Kitasatosporales; Streptomycetaceae. The record is from RNAcentral.